RNAcentral lists this ribosomal RNA (253 nucleotides) under uncultured bacterium. RNAcentral's name for it is "partial 16S ribosomal RNA". It matches the Rfam family "Bacterial small subunit ribosomal RNA", at positions 524 to 776 of the family's 1533-position model. The record is from RNAcentral.
UACGAAGGGGGCUAGCGUUGUUCGGAUUUACUGGGCGUAAAGCGCACGUAGGCGGAUCGUUAAGUCGGGGGUGAAAUCCUGGAGCUCAACUCCAGAACUGCCUUUGAUACCGAGGAUCUUGAGUUCGGGAGAGGUGAGUGGAACUGCGAGUGUAGAGGUGAAAUUCGUAGAUAUUCGCAAGAACACCAGUGGCGAAGGCGGCUCACUGGCCCGAUACUGACGCUGAGGCACGAAAGCGUGGGGAGCAAACAGG